AGCAGCCGCGGUAAUUCCAGCUCCAAUAGCGUAUAUUAAAGUUGUUGCAGUUAAAAAGCUCGUAGUUGAAUUUCGGAACCAAUAUGUCGGUCGUGCCUCGGUACGUACUGGUGUCAUUGGUUUCUCCCUUCUGAGGAUCCUUGAUGUCAUUAAUUUGGUGUCUUGGGGAAUCAGGACUGUUACCUUGAAAAAAUUAAAGUGUUUAAAAGCAGGCAUACGCUUGAAUACAUUAGCAUGGAAUAAUGAAAUAGGACGUUCGAAUUCUAUUUUGUGGUUUCUAGGAUCGACGUAAUGAUUAAUAGGGAUAGUUGGGGGCAUUAGUAUUCAAUUGUCAGAGGUGAAAUUCUUGGAUUUAUUGAAGACUAACUACUGCGGAAGCAUUUGCCAAGGAUGUUUUCAUUAAUCAAGAACGAAAGUUAGGGAUCGAAGACGAUCAGAUACCGUCGUAGUCUUAACCAUAAACUAUGCCGACUAGGGAUCGGAUGAUGUAUUUUUANGACUUCAUUCGCGCCUUACGGGA
Molecule: ribosomal RNA, 520 nt
Filed under: uncultured Glomus
Lineage: Eukaryota; Fungi; Glomeromycota; Glomeromycetes; Glomerales; Glomeraceae
Description: SSU rRNA
Rfam family: Eukaryotic small subunit ribosomal RNA
Source: RNAcentral